RNAcentral lists this ribosomal RNA (466 nucleotides) under Vreelandella stevensii. Its description in RNAcentral is "partial 16S ribosomal RNA". It matches the Rfam family "Bacterial small subunit ribosomal RNA", at positions 338 to 795 of the family's 1533-position model. The record is from RNAcentral. Lineage: Bacteria; Pseudomonadati; Pseudomonadota; Gammaproteobacteria; Oceanospirillales; Halomonadaceae.
CCUACGGGUGGCAGCAGUGGGGAAUAUUGGACAAUGGGGGCAACCCUGAUCCAGCCAUGCCGCGUGUGUGAAGAAGGCCCUCGGGUUGUAAAGCACUUUCAGUGAGGAAGAACGCCUGGUGGUUAAUACCCAUCAGGAAAGACAUCACUCACAGAAGAAGCACCGGCUAACUCCGUGCCAGCAGCCGCGGUAAUACGGAGGGUGCGGAGCGUUAAUCGGAAUUACUGGGCGUAAAGCGCGCGUAGGUGGCUUGAUAAGCCGGUUGUGAAAGCCCCGGGCUCAACCUGGGAACGGCAUCCGGGACGGGCAAGCUAGAGGGGGAGAGAGGGGGAGAGCAGCCACGGUGGGGGCGGGCAAUGCGGAGAGAGCGGGAGGAAGAGGCGUGGCGGCGGGGGCAGCAAGGAUUGAGAGUGACACGGGGGUGAGUGUGUGUGGCUAGCUAUCCGGAGUAGAUAGCCUAGUGGUG